CCCUCGGCAUGUGGAAGUUCUCAGGCCCGAGGCUGAAUCCUAGCCUCAACAGAGACAACGUCUAAUCCUUAACCACUAGGCUAUUAGGGAACUCCUAGAACUAACUCAUUUUAAUGUCAUAGCUUUAGAGAACCCUCCUACACUUUUGGUAGGGAUGAAAAUUGAUGUAGCCACUAUGGAAAAUACUAUGCAGUUUCUUUUAAAAACUAAAAAUAGUUAGCGUAUGACCAAGCAAUCACACUCCUGGGCAUCUAUCUGGACAAAACUCUAAUUCAAAAAGAUACAUGCACUCCAAUGUACAAUGAAGCACUAUUUACAACAGCCGGACCAUGGACGCAAUCUAAAUUCCAUCAACAGAUAAACAGAUGAAGAUAUGGUACAUAUAUACAAUGGAAUACUACUCAGCCAUAAAAAAUAAAUUUAUGCUAUUUGCAGCAGCAUGUAUGGGACCUAGAGAUUGUCAUACAAAGUGAAGUAAGUCAGAAAAAGACAAACACUAUAUUAUAGCACUUAUGUGUGAACUCUAAAAUGUAACACAAAUGAACUUAUCUAUGAAAUAGAAACUUAACAAACAUAGAGAACAGACUUGUGGUUGAGGGAUGGCAGGAGUGGAUAGUUUGGGAUUAGCAGAUGCAAACUAUUAUAUAUAGAAUGCAUAAACAACAAGGUCCUACUGUAUAGCACAUGGAACUAUAUUCAAUAUUCUAUAAUAAACCAUAAUGGAAAGAAUAUGAAAAUGCAUAUACAUAUACUUAUAUAUAUUUUUAUAUAUAUAUUCUUAUAUGUUACUGAAUCAUUUUGCUGUACAUCAGAAGCUAAUAUAAUGUAAAUCAACUAUGCUUCAAUAAAAUACACUUUUUAAAAAGAUGGUAGGAAGAUUACUUAACUUCUCUAAACCUCAUAUGCAAAAUGAGUGACAAGACCUAACUCACAGAGUUGGUGUGAGAAUUGAAAGACACACACACAUGACAAGAUAUAUCCUGUACUAAACCAGAUAGAGCUCUCCGAUUCCAAAGCACAAACCUGUAGGCACAAGAUAUCCUGACUUAUUUCUGGAGCCAAGGAGAUGGCUAGCAGCAAUGAUUAUAGCAAUGGGGAGAAGAAAACAUCAAUAUGAUAAUGCUAAAUAUCCCUGACUCAGCAGCUCAGGCCAUCAAUUUAGAACAGACCAAUGACACUCUUUACAGUUCUCAUAUCUUGAAUUUCUGCCAGGGCUGAAACCAAAAGAAAAGCAAGACUGUAUUAUUUAUAACAUUAAAUUUCCCCAGGUUUCUCACAUACUUCCCAAACGUGGGUUCUUCCAAAUAGAUAAGUAGUUGUGCCCAUGUACACACACAGCUCUGGCCAUGAUGAGUCACCAACACUCUUACAGUACUUCUAUGGUAGAGUUCACUCCAAGUACUUUACACAUAAUAACUCAUUUAAUCUUCACCAAUAGUCUUAAUGAGGCCGUUACUAUUAUAUCUAUUUCACAGUGGGGAAACCGAAGCCCAGAGAGGUCAUGUAACUUAGCCAUCACAGGGCCACUUAAAGGUAAAACUGGCAUAUGAACCCAGGCAUACCCACACCCAAGUGCUGUACUGAGCUAGGUGCACUGUCCAAAUCACUACGCUUUCUCCCAUUGCCCUGUCUUCACACAUACUGUGCUCCUGAACUAGAUUACCAUUCUUUCCUCUCCCUCCCUUCCACAUCCUCCUGAUUAAGUCCAAGUGUCCCCUCAAGAGUCGUAUCAGGACCAUAGUCCCUGAAAACCCUCAGACCCACCCACCUCUGUUCUCCAUAAUGACUAUCCCAAGAUUUCCACUAAUAGGUAAAAAAAAUAUAUACGUAUAUCUCUAAAGUUAAAUGGUAAAUUAUAUUCUCGGAAGAUUCUGGGGAAAAAAAAUGUUUUUGAGAAACAGAUGGUAUCUCAGAGCCUCAAGUCUGUUGGCUUAUAACACUAAGGCAACGAACUUUAUGCCAACAAUUAAACUAGACUUCCCAGUAAAAUGGCAAACCCCUCAAUCACAUGGCUCCCAAUGAUACUGCCAGUAUGAAGUGUUUAGAUUCCCCAGGGCAAAAUAAGCAGAAAACUUUGCAGUAGCAGUAACUAAAAAGAGAAGCGUAUUGUGUGAGGAGAUAAGGGAAGACAAGUAACAGUUCCUCAACAGCUAGUCAGCACCGUGCGAUAUUCCAGGUGCUUGCUCUUUGUCAACCUAUUCUGUCCCUAAAGAGCAGGGAGGCAGAAUCUAGCCUGCAUGGCCCUCAAGGUCUACCAUAUCGUGUGUGACUUUAAAGUUUUGGAGACUGAAUCAUGACAGUGCUAGACAAAUAAUUCUCUUCAUAGCCCAGCUCAAACACCACAUCUCUGGGGUCCCAAAGCACUGACUGCUUAUCCCAGCCAACUUAACAUCCAACUUAACAUCCAACCGUCACUGAGAAUUUUUUUUCUUAUCAUUUCUACUAGUGAGGACUCUCUAUGUUUUUUGUUUGUUUAUGGUUUUUUUGUUUUGUUUUGUUUGCUUUUUAGGGCCACACCCAUGGCAUAUGGAGGUUGUGGGGCUAGGGGUCAAAUCAGAGCUACAGCUGCUGGCCUGCAUCACAGCUACAGCAACACAGCAACGCAGGAUUCAAUCCACAUCUGUGACCUACACCACAGCUCACGGCAAUGCCAGAUC
RNAcentral lists this long non-coding RNA (2657 nucleotides) under Sus scrofa (pig). RNAcentral describes it as "lncRNA (ENSSSCG00000063072.1)". The record is from RNAcentral. Lineage: Eukaryota; Metazoa; Chordata; Mammalia; Artiodactyla; Suidae.